CAGGAGAUUCUUCUAUGUCCGCUUAACAGCUGAGUAUCAUUGACUGACUUUGGCUGUUUCACAGAACCAGCAGUUUGCAGCGAGAGUUGACCGCAGAAUCAUGGACAACAGCAGGAGAUUUUCAGUGGUGGACCCAACCCCCCAGCUCCAGAGUGAGGAGAGAUGUGUGGUUUCACUCCUUCAUUCCUCCAAUGUGUUCACUGCGAUAAUCAUCAUCAUCAGCACACAUCAUCACCCUGGAGGAAGACUACAGUAACUCAGAGCUGUUAGGGUUAGUUAGUCUGAAUUUUCACAUGAGAGAGAGAGAGAGAGAGAGAGAGAAUACAGAGUAAGGGGGAGAGAAAGUGAUGGAGAAAGUGAGCCAGAG
Molecule: long non-coding RNA, 367 nt
Organism: Pygocentrus nattereri (red-bellied piranha)
Lineage: Eukaryota; Metazoa; Chordata; Actinopteri; Characiformes; Serrasalmidae
Exons: 3
Source: RefSeq, a predicted model, not a curated record